RNAcentral lists this ribosomal RNA (265 nucleotides) under uncultured bacterium. RNAcentral's name for it is "partial 16S ribosomal RNA". It matches the Rfam family "Bacterial small subunit ribosomal RNA", at positions 334 to 616 of the family's 1533-position model. The record is from RNAcentral.
AUCACCUACGGGGGGCAGCAGUGAGGGAUAUUGGUCAAUGGGGGAAACCCUGAACCGGCAACGCCGCGUGAGGGAAGACGGUUUUCGGAUUGUAAACCUCUGUCCUCUGUGAAGAUAAUGACGGUAGCAGAGGAGGAAGCUCCGGCUAACUACGUGCCAGCAGCCGCGGUAAUACGUAGGGAGCGAGCGUUGUCCGGAUUUACUGGGUGUAAAGGGUGCAUAGGCGGGGAAGCAAGGUAGAAGUGGAAUCCAUGGGCUUAAACCA